RNAcentral lists this ribosomal RNA (440 nucleotides) under uncultured bacterium. RNAcentral's name for it is "partial 16S ribosomal RNA". It matches the Rfam family "Bacterial small subunit ribosomal RNA", at positions 338 to 795 of the family's 1533-position model. The record is from RNAcentral.
CCUACGGGUGGCAGCAGUGGGGAAUAUUGCACAAUGGGGGAAACCCUGAUGCAGCGACGCCGCGUGAGCGAUGAAGUAUUUCGGUAUGUAAAGCUCUAUCAGCAGGGAAGAAAAUGACGGUACCUGACUAAGAAGCCCCGGACAACUACGUGCCAGCAGCCGCGGUAAUACGUAGGGGGCACGCGUUAUCCGGAUUUACUGGGUGUAAAGGGAGCGUAGACGGCGAUGCAAGCCAGAUGUGAAAGCCCGGGGCUCAACCCCGGGACUGCAUUUGGAACUGUAUAGCUGGAGUGUCGGGGAGGCAGGCGGAAUUCAUGGUGUGGCGGUGAAAUGCGUAGAGAUUAGGAGGAACACCGGUGGCGAAGGCGGCCUGCUGGACGAUGACUGACGUUGAGGCUCGAAAGCGUGGGGAGCAAACAGGAUUAGAUACCCUUGUAGUC